CCUCUCCGUUCCCUCACCUCCACCUUCUCUCUUUCUGUCUUCCACUCUCUGCUUUCUAUUUACUUUCUCGCCGAAUUUUCUCUCUGGCCAAACAAAACAAUGGUGAGGGAUGAUUUGUGCAUAAAAGUGCCUAGUUUUUUCCGCUGCCCGAUAUCACUGGACGUGAUGAAAUCCCCUGUUAGUCUGUGCACCGGAGUCACCUACGACCGCACUAGCAUCCAACGGUGGCUCGACAGCGGCAAUAACACUUGCCCUGCAACCAUGCAGGUCCUCAAGAGCAAAGAGUUGGUCCCCAACAGCACCUUACAACGCCUCAUCCAGAUCUGGUACGACUCGGUGCAGCACCACCGUAGCCACCGUGUCAACUCGGCAACUAACCCAGUUUCCUCACAGGAUGAGAUCAAGUGCAUAGUUAAGGACAUUGAAACGAAAAAAGAACUAGAUCACUGUUGUUUCGACGCUUUAUCAAAAAUUCAGUGUUUCGCCGAAGGAUCCGUGGAGAACCAGGAAUUUCUAGCAAAAAUGGACGGAUUCGUGCCAAUGCUUCUUGAUUUUCUGGCCGAUAAUAAAAGCAUUGACUUCAUUGAGCAAGUAAUUAGGGUUCUAGAUUUGAUCUUAAUCAAAAUCGGAGAUUAUAAGGAGUUAAUGACAUUACUAUUGAAGAACAAAAAUAUCGAUUGCUUGUCCUCGCUCCUUCUCGUUUUUCAACGAGGAAGAAGCAUACACUCAAGAAUUGGAUCGGUGAGAAUUGUAGAAUCAAUCGCCAUGGAUGGAGAAUCGAAUUUGUUGAUCGCCGAAAAGGAUGGAUUAUUACCCGAAUUAGUAAAAUCAAUCGGCCUAGAAAACUAUCCGAGCUUGAUUGAAGCGAGCUUGUCAUGUUUAAUCGCGAUUUCAAAGGCGAGACGUGUCAAAGUUAAGCUAGUACAUCUCAAAACAAUUCCAGAAUUGAGAAACAUACUAACGGCAGACCCAAACACGGGAGUUUCAAACUUAAUCACCGAGAAGGCGUUGAAGCUGCUUGAAACGGUGUCGUCCUGCAAGGAAGGGAGAGUAGAGAUGUGCAGUGACAUGGCGUGCAUAGAAGCAGUGGUUCAGAAGGUGUUCAAAGUAUCGGUAGAGGCGACGGAGCAUGCGGUGACGAUAUUGUGGAGCAUCUGUUAUUUGUCUAGGGACGUGAAUGCUCGAGAGGCGGUGACGAACAGUAACGGGCUGACGAAGAUUUUGUUGCUUAUGCAGAGUAAUUGCUCGCCGACGGUGAGGCAGAUGGCGGGGGAUUUGUUGAAGAUUUUCAGGGUGAAUUCAAAGUCAUGCCUUUCCAGUUAUGAUACUAAGACUACACAUAUUAUGCCGUUUUGAUUCGAAACGUCAUUGGAUGGGAUAUGUGCUAAAUGUUAACCUUUUCUUUUUUUUCUUUUUCUCUGUUUCUCUCUUUUUGGUGCAAGAAAUUGAGAGAGGGAGAGAGAGAAAGAGUAGAGAAUCGCAUUGUAAAUCCAAAAGGAAAAAUUUUUUGUUUUGUUAAUACAAGAGAGAAUCAAAUCAAAUUCAAUUCGUAUGAUUUUG
Molecule: unclassified non-coding RNA, 1560 nt
Filed under: Hevea brasiliensis (rubber tree)
Lineage: Eukaryota; Viridiplantae; Streptophyta; Magnoliopsida; Malpighiales; Euphorbiaceae
Source: RNAcentral